Eptesicus fuscus (big brown bat) is the source of this 1424-nucleotide long non-coding RNA. RefSeq lists it as uncharacterized. Lineage: Eukaryota; Metazoa; Chordata; Mammalia; Chiroptera; Vespertilionidae. The transcript is spliced from 2 exons. The record is from RefSeq and is a predicted model, not a curated record.
GGCCCGACGGACGGCAGCAAGCGAGCCGGACGGACGGACGGCGGGCGGGCAGCGGUCAGGUCUUCACUGUCCUGUCGCCCCGUCAGUUUUAAAGUUGAGCUGCAGAGGCGCCCAGUGGCUCCCGAGGUAAAGUGGCCUCUCUACGAGGUGAUGCGCGUGCAAAGCGGCAAAGCCUGUGCGACCCCGCGUCACCACCUGACGUCACCACCCGACGUCACCACCCCGCGGCCUGCAGGCCUUUUGAAAGGGAUUUUGCCUUCAGCUUGGGAGUUCAGGGGGAGAGGGGACCCAAGGCGGGGAACAUUUCAAAAAUCCGUUGAAGCCUGGCGGCCUAUAGGUUUGAUUUCCAGGCCGUUGGAUGGGGCAGGCCCUGUAACUGCGUGGACCACGGAACACCCAUGAGGGAUGCUGGGGCAGGUCUCAAGGAAAACUGGCGUCUUCUACUACUUCCCCCAAACAUCUCUCUGCUCCCCCUCUCCAACAGCCACCUCCCACCCCCAGCUGUGAGAAGCCAGCGAGGAGCACUGUGGCCUCUCGCUCAGCAGCCUCUCGCUCAGCAGCCCGCCUACGGCAGCAUCAGGUGUGUGUGACCCCCUUCCUGUCAUGGUCCAGCCAGCUCACCUGACUCCAGCCCCAGCCAGAAGAGCCUCCAGCCCAGCCCGUCAACUCACAGAAUCAUCUAUCUACCUAACACCCACCAGCCAAUCAGGAGUGAGUAUGCAAAUUAACCCAACAAAGAUGGCGGGUUGAUUUGCAUAUGCAGGUGCCAAGCAGCCAGGGACAGGGCAGGACCCAGGCGUUCAGCACCACCCCAGCCGCUGCGGGCCUCUGGGCAGCGUGGGAAGGCGGAAAGGCUGCUCCGGCCAGAGCAGAGGCGGUGCCGGCAGCCAGGGGAACGAAGGCCCAUUCUUGCACGAAUCUUCAUUCGUGCAUCGGGCCACUAGUCUAUAUAAAAUAGAGAAAUAUGCUAAUUAACCAGGACGCUGCAACAGGUUGCCCGGACAGGAGAAGGUUGCAUGGGAAGCGUCAGGGGCGGGGUGGCAGGGGCCUCCGUGUGCCUGUUCUGGGGGACGGCCUGAUCAGCAGCGGCCACGGCUGCUUCAUGGGCCGGAGAGGGAGGCAGGGCCAGACUGGUGACUUGAGGGUGGGCGGCGCUGUGCGAUUUCGAAUCGCGUGCUGGGCUCCUAGUGAGAUAAUAAAAUGAUUGUGGCCCUCACCGGUAUGGCUCAGUGGCUAGAGCAUUGGCCUGCAGGCUGAAGGGUCCCGGGUUCGAUUCCGGUCAAGGGCAUGUUCCUCGGUUGCCCAAUCAAUGUGUCUCACAUCAAUGUUUCUCUGUCUCUCCUCCCUUCUUCCACUCUCUCUAAAAAUAUCCUCAGGUGAGGAUUAAAUAAUAAUAAUAAUAAAAUGAUUAUUGUUUUAAGCCA